Molecule: long non-coding RNA, 1454 nt
Organism: Astatotilapia calliptera (eastern happy)
Lineage: Eukaryota; Metazoa; Chordata; Actinopteri; Cichliformes; Cichlidae
Source: Ensembl
GGCGAAUUUCCUGCCCCUGGAGGAUGAUGCUGGAACCUCGGAUCACGUCUCCUCUACGUGGGAUGUGAACACGGCGCCUGAAGAUGAUGAUGGGGCUGCGUCUGGGGAGGGGGAUUUGAAUGCCCCUGCUGUGAGCUGUGUUGGUGCUCAUGGUAACCGCUCACCCGAUGCCAUGGAUGGGACAGCUGACCUGGAGGUUAUCUCUGAACCUUUGGACCCUGGAGAGAGGACAGUUGCACGGGUGUCGCAGUUGACAGAGUCCAGCCGGUCUCAGGGAGAUUUUACUGAUGUUUCAAGCGUGGAUUCAGUCUUGCCAGCUGCAUCGGGCUUGUCUGUUGAAGUGGACUUUGACCAAACUGGUUCUAGCAUGGCGUCCCAGGAGGUCGAUAUUGCUACGAGCUGUGGGGAGGGUGUACAAGGAUGCUCUACUACACCUGACGCAGUGGUGGAUGUAGUUGCUCCUGCCAUUGCUGCUCAGUCCCCAAUGGCUGACUAUAGCCAAACCGGGAAUGGUUCCCAGAUCAGAACCAGACUUGGGCGACUUGUCAAACCUGUGAAUAGACUGAUCCAGACAAUGUCAAAUCAAGUCGUGGUUCGUGACAGGUUUGAUGUGAAGUCAGUUUGUAAGUCCUUGAUUUCGUCCUUCUCUGACUAAAUGUUCUGUUUAUAUGCCUACCUAAGUGAUGGGAUUUGUACUUGCUGUCAUGUGCUCUACAUUUUUGUUUUUCUUUUUGUUUUUUUUCUUUCUGUUGAGCCAUGGUACACACCUUGUGAGGGGUUAUUAGUAGGGUGUAUUUCGGGAACCCUGCUGCCAGUUGCUGGGUUGGGAGUUUAGCGCUGCUCCUAUCCCACUUCAUCCUUAGGGAUACGUUUAGUUGGUGUCUGUGAUUUUUGACCUCUGUUUGGUUGGUGCAUACUAGUGUGGGUACCUAAGGCUCAAAUUUGAUAAAAUUCAGUGGGGGUGAGUGUAACGGAGUUAAAAAUACAUCUGAAAAACAUGCACUUACCUGUUCUUAAUUAUUAUUUUAAGUGUGAAUUUUAUCAUUUUUUUAAAUUGUAUUUUAUUUUGAAAACCCAGAAACCGGAUCUCACUCUAGCGUUUAGAAGCAGGUACGUGAGCUUGUUAACAGUCAUUUUGUCUGUAAAGCACAAGCAAGUGAAAAUGUAAUGCGCUAUUGUUAAUUUGUCCACUAGAGGGAAAUGUUUAGUCGGUGAUGCUUCUGUUAUCCUGUUAUUUUGUUUUACACGAUUGUGAAAUGUAUUUUAUUAGUCAUAAGGUUUCUUUUUGUAUACAAGUUCAGUGUGACAGACUGUAAAAUGGGAGAAAUUAUUAUUUUCCAUCUUUUCCUUAUUAAAAAGUUAAUUGUAAGUCUGUCAACACAGCGCGCGUUUGCACUGUGAGGGAGCUACAAUUGCUGGUACCAUCAGAAGACACCUGUUGAGUGUGUUUUAUG